This 296-nucleotide transfer-messenger RNA is filed under the name Enterococcus durans. RNAcentral describes it as "partial transfer-messenger RNA". It matches the Rfam family "transfer-messenger RNA", at positions 76 to 374 of the family's 374-position model. From Rfam's summary of the family: Bacterial tmRNA, also known as 10Sa RNA or SsrA, is named for its dual tRNA and mRNA-like properties. Its role is to liberate the mRNA from a stalled ribosome. To accomplish this part of the tmRNA is used as a reading frame that ends in a translation stop signal. Lineage: Bacteria; Bacillati; Bacillota; Bacilli; Lactobacillales; Enterococcaceae. The record is from RNAcentral.
GUUACAGUUAAAUAUAACUGCUAAAAACGAAAACAACUCUUACGCUUUAGCUGCCUAAAAACAGUUAGCGUAGAUCCUCUCGGCAUCGCCCAUGUGCUCGAGUAAGGGUCUCAAAUUUAGUGGGAUACGUUAAACUUUUCCGUCUGUAAAGUUUAAAAGAGAUUAUCAGACUAGCAAUACAGAAUGCCUGUCACUCGGCAAGCUGUAAAGCGAAACCUCAAAUGAGUUGACUAUGAACGUAGAUUUUUAAGUGUCGAUGUGUUUGGACGCGGGUUCGACUCCCGCCGUCUCCAUAU